UGCAAGUCGAAUGGGUUAGACCCAUGGCGAACGGGUGAGUAACACGUAGGAAGUUGCUCCGAAGUCGGGGAUAACCCGCCGAAAGGCGGGAUAACAUCCGAUAGUCUUAAAGUAGAAAUGGGGAAGUUCGGAAAUGCUGGAGAGGUACCCAUAAACGUUGCAAGCGUUUGUUGCGGAUCCGAAUCAGGGCCACGCUAGUGCCCGCCCCCUAAAUUUCAUUUUCUGGCAAGUUUUUAACUUGCCUCUCCAUUUCUGCUUUAAGUAAAAAUUUAUUGCUUCGGAAGACGCCUGCGUCCUAUCAGAUAGUUGGUGAGGUAACGGCUCACCAAGUCUAUGACGGGUAGCUGGUCUAAGAGGAUGAUCAGCCACAGUGGAACUGCGACACGGUCCACACUCCUACGGGAGGCAGCAGUAGGGAAUCGUCGGCAAUGCCCGAAAGGGUGACCGCGCGACGCCGCGUGAAGGAAGAAGGCCUUCGGGUUGUAAACUUCUUUUAUAGGGGAUGAUUAUGACAGUACCCUAAGAAUAAGGGCCUGCUAACUACGUGCCAGCAGCAGCGGUAAUACGUAGGGCCCGAGCAUUAUCCGGAAUUAUUGGGCGUAAAGAGCGUGUAGGUGUUCCUACAAGUCGGUCGUUAAAUCUUAGAGCUCAACUCUGAGGCCGCGAGCGAAACUGUAGGAAUUGAGGUUUACAGGGGCAAGCAGAAUUCCAGGAGUAGGGGUGAAAUCCGUUGAUACCUGGAGGAAUACCAAUGGCGAAGGCAGCUUGCUGGGUAAUACCUGACACUGAGACGCGAAAGCGUGGGGAGCAAACGGGAUUAGAUACCCCGGUAGUCCACGCCGUAAACUCUGUCAACUAGCGAUAGGAAGAGUCGACCCUUUCUGUCGCGAAGCUAACGCGUCAAGU
RNAcentral lists this ribosomal RNA (906 nucleotides) under uncultured bacterium. RNAcentral's name for it is "bacterial SSU rRNA". It matches the Rfam family "Bacterial small subunit ribosomal RNA", at positions 56 to 865 of the family's 1533-position model. The record is from RNAcentral.